UUGUUGUUAAACCCAUGAAAUUUAAUUGAAUUGUGUGAACGAUGAAAACGUUGUUGUUAAACCUAUGCAAUUUGAUUAAAUUGUGUGAAUGAUGAAAACGUUGUUGUUAAACUCAUGAAAUUUAAUUGAAUUGUGUGAAUGAUGAAGAAAAUGUUGUUGUUAAACCUAUGAAAUUUGGUUCAAUUGUGUGAAUGAUGAAAAUGUUGAUGUUAAACCCAUGAACUUUGAUUGAAUUGUGUAAAUGAUGAAAACGUUGUUGUUAAACCUAUGAAAUUUGGUUGAAUUGUGCGAACGAUGAAAACGUUGUUGUUAAACCUAUGCAAUUUGACUAAAUUGUGUGAAUGAUGAAAAUGUUGUUGUUAAACCCAUGAAAUUUAAUUGAAUAGUGUGAACGAUGAAAACGUUGAUGUUAAACCUAUGAAAUUUGGUUCAAUUGUGCGAAUGAUGAAAAUGUUGAUGUUAAACCCAUGAACUUUGAUUGAAUUGUGUGAUGAUGAAAACGUUGUUGUUAAACCUGUGAAAUUUGAUUGAAUUGUGUGAAUGAUGAAAAUGUAGUUGUUAAACCUAUGAAAUUUGGUUCAAUUGUGUGAACGAUGAAAACGUUGUUGUUAAACCCAUGAACUUUGAUUCAAUUGUGUGAAUGAUGAAAAUGUUGAUGUUAAACCCAUGAAAUUUGGUUGAAUUGUGCGAAUGAUGAAAACGUUUUGUUAAACCUGUGCAAUUUGGUUGAAUUGUGCGAAUGAUGAAGAUGUUGUUGUUAAACCUGUGCAAUUUGAUUAAAUUGUGUGAACGAUGAAAAUGUAGUUGUUAAACCCAUGAAAUUUGGUUCAAUUGUGUGAACGAUGAAAACGUUGAUGUUAAACCCAUGAACUUUGAUUCAAUUGUGUGAAUGAUGAAAAUGUUUUGUUAAACCCGUGAAAUUUGGUUGAAUUGUGCGAAUGAUGAAAACGUUGUUGUUAAACCUAUGAAAUUUGGUUGAAUUGUGCGAAUGAUGAAAAUGUUGUUGUUAAACCCAUGAAAUUUGGUUCAAUUGUGUGAAUGAUGAAAAUGUUGAUGUUAAACCCAUGAACUUUGGUUGAAUUGUGUGAAUGAUGAAAAUGUUGUUAAACCCAUGAAAUUUGGUUGAAUUGUGCGAAGGAUGAAGAUGUUUUGUUAAACCUGUGCAAUUUGAUUAAAUUGUGUGAUGAUGAAAAUGUAGUUGUUAAACCCAUGAAAUUUGAUUAAAUUGUGUGAAUGAUGAAAAUGUAGUUGUUUAGGGUUUAGGGUUUAGGGUUUAGGGUUUAGCGUUUAGGGUUUAGGGUUUUUUUAGGGUUUUUUAGGGUUUAGGGUUUAGGGUUUAGGGUUUUUUUAGGGUUUAGGGUUUAGGGUUUAGGGUUUAGGGUUUAGGGUUUAGGGUUUUUUUAGGGUUUAGGGUUUAGGGUUUAGGGUUUAGGGUUUAGGGUUUAGGGUUUUUUAGGGUUUAGGGUUUAGGGUUUAGGGUUUUUUUAGGGUUUAGGGUUUAGGGUUUAGGGUUUUUUUAGGGUUUAGGGUUCAGGGUUUAGGGUUUAGGGUUUAGGGUUUAGGGUUUAGGGUUCAGGGUUCAGGGUUCAGGGUUUAGGGUUUAGGGUUUAGGGUUUUUUUAGGGUUCAGGGUUCAGGGUUCAGGGUUCAGGGUUCAGGGUUCAGGGUUCAGGGUUCAGGGUUUAGGGUUUUUUUAGGGUUCAGGGUUCAGGGUUAGGGUUUAGGGUUUAGGGUUUAGNAUGUUGUUGUUAAACCUAUGGAAUUUGAUUGAAUUGUGUGAAUGAUGAAAACGUUGUUGUUAAACCCAUGAAAUUUGAUUGAAUUGUGUGAAUAAUGAAAAUGUUGAUGUUAAACCUAUGAAAUUUGUUUCAAUUGUGUGAAUGAUGAAAAUGUUGUGGUUAAACCCAUGAACUUUGAUUGAAUUGUGUGAAUGAUGAAAACGUUGAUGUUAAACCUAUGAAAUUUGGUUGAAUUGUGCGAAUAAUGAAAAUGUUGUUGUUAAACCUAUGAAAUUUGGUUCAAUUGUGUGAAUGAUGAAAAUGUUGUUGUUAAACCCAUGAACUUUGAUUGAAUUGUGUGAAUGCUGAAAACAUUGAUGUUAAACCCAUGAAAUUUGGUUGAAUUGUGCGAAUGUUGAAAACAUUGGUAAACCUAUGAAAUUUGAUUGAAUUGUGUGAAUGAUGAAGAUGUUUUGUUAAACCUGUGCAAUUUGAUUGAAUUGUGUGAUGAUGAAAAUGUAGUUGUUAAACCCAUGAAAUUUGAUUGAAUUGUGUGAAGGAUGAAAACGUUGAUGUUAAACCCAUGAAAUUUGAUUGAAUUAUGUGAAUGAUAAAAAUGUUGUUGUUAAACCUAUGAAAUUUGAUUGAAUUGUGUGAAUGAUGAAAAUGUUGUUGUUAAACCCAUGAAAUUUGAUUGAAUUGUGUGAAUGAUGAAAACGUUGAUGUUAAACCUAUGAAAUUCGAAUGAAUUGUGCGUGUGAUGAAGAAAAUGUUAUUGUCAAACCUAUGAAAUUUGAUUGAAUUGUGUGAAUGAUGAAAAUGUUGUUGUUAAACCCAUGAAAUUUGAUUGAAUUUUGUGAAUGAUGAAAAUGUUGUUGUUAAACCCAUGAAAUUUGAUUGAAUUGUGUGAAUAAUGAAAAUGUUGUUGUUAAAUCUAUGAAAUUUGAUUGAAUUGUGUGAAUGAUGAAAAUGUUGUUGUUAAACCCAUGAACUUUGAUUGAAUUGUGUGAAGGAUGAAAGGUUGUUGUUAAACCCAUGAAAUUUGAUUAAAUUGUGUGAAUAAUGAAAAUGUUGAUGUUAAAGCUAUGAAAUUUGAUUCAAUUGUGUGAAUGAUAAAAAUGUUGUUGUUAAACCCAUGAACUUUGAUUGAAUUGUGUGAAUGAUAAAAACGUUGAUGUUAAACCUAUGAAAUUUGGUUGAAUUGUGCGAAUAAUGAAAAUGUUGAUGUUAAACCUAUGAAAUUUGAUUCAAUUGUCUGAAUGGUGAAGAUGUUGUUGUUAAACCUAUGAAAUUUGAUUGAAUUGUGUGAAUGAUGAAAACGUUGAUGUUAAACCUAUGAAAUUUGAUUGAAUUGUGCGAAUAAUGAAAAAAAAGUUGUUAAACCUAUGAAAUUUGAUUGAAUUGUGUGAAUGAUGAAGAAAAUGUUGAUGUUAAACCUAUGAAAUUUGAUUGAAUUUGUGAAUGAUGAAAAUGUUGUUGUUAAACCCAUGAAAUUUGAUUGAAUUGUGUGAAUGAUGAAAAUGUUGUUGUUAAACCCAUGAAAUUUGAUUGAAUUGUGUGAAUGAUGAAAAUGUUGUUGUUAAACCCAUGAAAUUUGAUUGAAUUGUGUGAAUGAUGAAAAUGUUGUUGUUAAACCCAUGAAAUUUGAUUGAAUUGUGUGAAUGAUGAAAAUGUUGUUGUUAAACCCAUGAAAUUUGAUUGAAUUGUGUGAAUGAUGAAAAUGUUGUUGUUAAACCCAUGAAAUUUGAUUGAAUUGUGUGAAUGAUGAAAAUGUUGUUGUUAAACCCAUGAAAUUUGAUUGAAUUGUGUGAAUGAUGAAAAUGUUGUUGUUAAACCCAUGAAAUUUGAUUGAAUUGUGUGAAUGAUGAAAAUGUUGUUGUUAAACCCAUGAAAUUUGAUUGAAUUGUGUGAAUGAUGAAAAUGUUGUUGUUAAACCCAUGAAAUUUGAUUGAAUUGUGUGAAUGAUGAAAAUGUUGUUGUUAAACCCAUGAAAUUUGAUUGAAUUGUGUGAAUGAUGAAAAUGUUGUUGUUAAACCCAUGAAAUUUGAUUGAAUUGUGUGAAUGAUGAAAAUGUUGUUGUUAAACCCAUGAAAUUUGAUUGAAUUGUGUGAAUGAUGAAAAUGUUGUUGUUAAACCCAUGAAAUUUGAUUGAAUUGUGUGAAUGAUGAAAAUGUUGUUGUUAAACCCAUGAAAUUUGAUUGAAUUGUGUGAAUGAUGAAAAUGUUGUUGUUAAACCCAUGAAAUUUGAUUGAAUUGUGUGAAUGAUGAAAAUGUUGUUGUUAAACCCAUGAAAUUUGAUUGAAUUGUGUGAAUGAUGAAAAUGUUGUUGUUAAACCCAUGAAAUUUGAUUGAAUUGUGUGAAUGAUGAAAAUGUUGUUGUUAAACCCAUGAAAUUUGAUUGAAUUGUGUGAAUGAUGAAAAUGUUGUUGUUAAACCCAUGAAAUUUGAUUGAAUUGUGUGAAUGAUGAAAAUGUUGUUGUUAAACCCAUGAAAUUUGAUUGAAUUGUGUGAAUGAUGAAAAUGUUGUUGUUAAACCCAUGAAAUUUGAUUGAAUUGUGUGAAUGAUGAAAAUGUUGUUGUUAAACCCAUGAAAUUUGAUUGAAUUGUGUGAAUGAUGAAAAUGUUGUUGUUAAACCCAUGAAAUUUGAUUGAAUUGUGUGAAUGAUGAAAAUGUUGUUGUUAAACCCAUGAAAUUUGAUUGAAUUGUGUGAAUGAUGAAAAUGUUGUUGUUAAACCCAUGAAAUUUGAUUGAAUUGUGUGAAUGAUGAAAAUGUUGUUGUUAAACCCAUGAAAUUUGAUUGAAUUGUGUGAAUGAUGAAAAUGUUGUUGUUAAACCCAUGAAAUUUGAUUGAAUUGUGUGAAUGAUGAAAAUGUUGUUGUUAAACCCAUGAAAUUUGAUUGAAUUGUGUGAAUGAUGAAAAUGUUGUUGUUAAACCCAUGAAAUUUGAUUGAAUUGUGUGAAUGAUGAAAAUGUUGUUGUUAAACCCAUGAAAUUUGAUUGAAUUGUGUGAAUGAUGAAAAUGUUGUUGUUAAACCCAUGAAAUUUGAUUGAAUUGUGUGAAUGAUGAAAAUGUUGUUGUUAAACCCAUGAAAUUUGAUUGAAUUGUGUGAAUGAUGAAAAUGUUGUUGUUAAACCCAUGAAAUUUGAUUGAAUUGUGUGAAUGAUGAAAAUGUUGUUGUUAAACCCAUGAAAUUUGAUUGAAUUGUGUGAAUGAUGAAAAUGUUGUUGUUAAACCCAUGAAAUUUGAUUGAAUUGUGUGAAUGAUGAAAAUGUUGUUGUUAAACCCAUGAAAUUUGAUUGAAUUGUGUGAAUGAUGAAAAUGUUGUUGUUAAACCCAUGAAAUUUGAUUGAAUUGUGUGAAUGAUGAAAAUGUUGUUGUUAAACCCAUGAAAUUUGAUUGAAUUGUGUGAAUGAUGAAAAUGUUGUUGUUAAACCCAUGAAAUUUGAUUGAAUUGUGUGAAUGAUGAAAAUGUUGUUGUUAAACCCAUGAAAUUUGAUUGAAUUGUGUGAAUGAUGAAAAUGUUGUUGUUAAACCCAUGAAAUUUGAUUGAAUUGUGUGAAUGAUGAAAAUGUUGUUGUUAAACCCAUGAAAUUUGAUUGAAUUGUGUGAAUGAUGAAAAUGUUGUUGUUAAACCUAUGAAAUUUGAUUGAAUUGUGUGAAUGAUGAAAAUGUUGUUGUUAAACCCAUGAACUUUGAUUGUAUUGUGUGAAUGAUGAAAACGUUGAUGUUAAACCUAUGAAAUUUGGUUGAAUUGUGCGAAUGAUGAAGAAAACGUUGUUGUUAAACCUAAGAAAUUUGAUUGAAUUAUGCGAAUGAUGAAGAUGUUGUUCCUAAACCCUUGAAAUUUUAUUGAAUUGUGUGAAUGAUGAAGAUGUUGUUGUUAAACCUAUGAAAUUUGAUUGAAUUGUGUGAUGAUGAAAAUGUUGGUGUUAAACCCAUGAAAUUUGAAUGAAUUGUGUGAAUGAAGAAAACGUUGAUGUUAAACCUAUGAAAUUUGAUUGAAUCGUAUGAAUGAUGAAAAUGUUGUUAUUAAACCCAUGAAAUUUGAUUGAAUUUUGUGAAUGAUGCAAAUGUUGCUGUUAAACCCAUGAAAUUUGAUUGAUUUGUGUGAAUAAUGAAAAUGUUGUUGUAAAUUUAUGAAUUUUGAUUGAAUUGUGUGAAUGAUGAAAAUGUUGUUGUUAAACCCAUGAACUUUGAUUGAAUUNNNNNNNNNNNNNNNNNNNNNNNNNNNNNNNNNNUGUUAAACCUAUGAAAUUUGGUUCAAUUGUGUGAAUGAUGAAAAUGUUGUUGUUAAACCCAUGAACUUUGAUUGAAUUGUGUGAAUGAUGAAAACGUUGAUGUUAAACCUAUGAAAUUUGGUUGAAUUGUGCGAUUAAUGAAAAUGUUGUUGUUAAACCUAUGAAAUUUGGUUCAAUUGUGUGAAUGAUGAGAAUGUUGUUGUUAAACCCAUGAACUUUGAUUGAAUUGUGUGAAUGAUGAAAACAUUGAUGUUAAACCCAUGAAAUUUGGUUGAAUUGUGCGAAUGAUGAAAACGUUGUUAAACCUAUGAAAUUUGAUUGAAUUGUGUAAAUGAUGAAGAUGUUUUGUUAAACCUGUGCAAUUUGAUUGACUUGUGUGAUGAUGAAAAUGUAGUUGUUAAACCCAUGAAAUUUGAUUGAAUUGUGUGAAGGAUGAAAAUGUUGAUGUUAAACCUAUGAAAUUUGAUUGAAUUGUGUGAAUGAUGAAAAUGUUGAUGUUAAACCUAUGCAAUUUGAUUGAAUUUGUGAAUGAUGAAAAUGUUGUUGUUAAACCCAUGAAAUUUGAUUGAAUUGUGUGAAUGAUGAAAAUGUUGUUGUUAAACCCAUGAGAUUUGAUUGAAUUUUGUGAAUGAUGAAAAUGUUGUUGUUAAACCCAUGAAAUUUGAUUGAAUUGUGUGAUGAUGAAAAUGUUGUUGUUAAACCCAUGAACUUUGAUUGAAUUGUGUGAAUAAUGAAAAUGUUGUUGUUAAACCUAUGAUAUUUGAUUGAAUUGAGUGAAUGAUGAAAAUGUUGUUGUUAAACCCAUGAAAUUUGAUUGAAUUGUGUGAAUGAUGAAAACGUUGAUGUUAAACCUAUGAAAAUUGAAUGAAUUAUGCGUAUGAUGAAGAAAAUGUUGUUGUCAAACCUAUGAAAUUUGAUUGAAUUGUGUGAAUGAUGAAAAUGUUGUUGUUAAACCCAUGAAAUUUGAUUGAAUUUUGUGAAUGAUGAAAACGUUGUUGUUAAACCCAUGAAAUUUGAUUAAAUUGUGUGAAUAAUGAAAAUGUUGAUGUUAAACCUAUGAAAUUUGAUUCAAUUGUGUGAAUGAUGAAAAUGUUGUUGUUAAACCCAUGAAAUUUGAUUGAAUUGUGUGAAUGAUGAAAAUGUUGUUGUUAAACCCAUGAAAUUUGAUUGAAUUGUGUGAAUGAUGAAAAUGUUGUUGUUAAACCCAUGAAAUUUGAUUGAAUUGUGUGAAUGAUGAAAAUGUUGUUGUUAAACCCAUGAAAUUUGAUUGAAUUGUGUGAAUGAUGAAAAUGUUGUUGUUAAACCCAUGAAAUUUGAUUGAAUUGUGUGAAUGAUGAAAAUGUUGUUGUUAAACCCAUGAAAUUUGAUUGAAUUGUGUGAAUGAUGAAAAUGUUGUUGUUAAACCCAUGAAAUUUGAUUGAAUUGUGUGAAUGAUGAAAAUGUUGAUGUUAAACCCAUGAAAUUUGAUUGAAUUGUGUGAAUGAUGAAAAUGUUGUUGUUAAACCUACGAAAUUUGAUUGAAUUGUGCGAAUAAUGAAAAAAAUGUUGUUGUUAAACCUAUGAAAUUUGAUUGAAUUGUGUGAAUGAUGAAGAUGUUGUUGUUAAACCUAUGAAAUUUGAUUGAAUUGUGUGAAUGAUGAAAACGUUGAUGUUAAACCUACGAAAUUUGAUUGAAUUGUGCGAAUAAUGAAAAAAAUGUUGUUGUUAAACGUAUGAAAUUUGAUUGAAUUGUGUGACUGAUGAAGAUGUUGUUGUUAAACCUAUGCAAUUUGAUUGAAUUGUGUGAUGAUGAAAAUGUGGUUCUUAAACCCAUGAAAUUUGAUUGAAUUGUGUGAAUAAUGAAAAUGUUGUUGUUAAACCUAUGAAAUUUGAUUGAAUGGUGUGAAUCAUGAAAAUGUUGUUGUUAAACCCAUGAACUUUGAUUGGAUUGUGUGAACGAUGAAAACGUUAUUGUUAAACCCAUGAAAUUUGAUUGAAUUGUGUGAAUAAUGAAAAUGUUGAUGUUAAACCUAUGAAAUUUGAUUCAAUUGUAUGAAUGAUGAAAAUGUUGUUGUUAAACCCAUGAACUUUGAUUGAAUUGUGUGAAUGAUGAAAACGUUGAUGUUAAACCUAUGAAAUUUGAAUGAAUUGUGCGUAUGAUGAAGAAAAUGUUGUUGUCAAACCUAUGAAAUUUGAUUGAAUUGUGUGAAUGAUGAAAAUGUUGUUGUUAAACCCAUGAAAUUUGAUUGAAUUGUGUGAAUGAUGAAAAUGUUGUUGUUAAACCCAUGAAAUUUGAUUGAAUUGUGUGAAUGAUGAAAAUGUUGUUGUUAAACCCAUGAAAUUUGAUUGAAUUGUGUGAAUGAUGAAAAUGUUGUUGUUAAACCCAUGAAAUUUGAUUGAAUUGUGUGAAUGAUGAAAAUGUUGUUGUUAAACCCAUGAAAUUUGAUUGAAUUGUGUGAAUGAUGAAAAUGUUGUUGUUAAACCCAUGAAAUUUGAUUGAAUUGUGUGAAUGAUGAAAAUGUUGUUGUUAAACCCAUGAAAUUUGAUUGAAUUGUGUGAAUGAUGAAAAUGUUGUUGUUAAACCCAUGAAAUUUGAUUGAAUUGUGUGAAUGAUGAAAAUGUUGUUGUUAAACCCAUGAAAUUUGAUUGAAUUGUGUGAAUGAUGAAAAUGUUGUUGUUAAACCCAUGAAAUUUGAUUGAAUUGUGUGAAUGAUGAAAAUGUUGUUGUUAAACCCAUGAAAUUUGAUUGAAUUGUGUGAAUGAUGAAAAUGUUGUUGUUAAACCCAUGAAAUUUGAUUGAAUUGUGUGAAUGAUGAAAAUGUUGUUGUUAAACCCAUGAAAUUUGAUUGAAUUGUGUGAAUGAUGAAAAUGUUGUUGUUAAACCCAUGAAAUUUGAUUGAAUUGUGUGAAUGAUGAAAAUGUUGUUGUUAAACCCAUGAAAUUUGAUUGAAUUGUGUGAAUGAUGAAAAUGUUGUUGUUAAACCCAUGAAAUUUGAUUGAAUUGUGUGAAUGAUGAAAAUGUUGUUGUUAAACCCAUGAAAUUUGAUUGAAUUGUGUGAAUGAUGAAAAUGUUGUUGUUAAACCCAUGAAAUUUGAUUGAAUUGUGUGAAUGAUGAAAAUGUUGUUGUUAAACCCAUGAAAUUUGAUUGAAUUGUGUGAAUGAUGAAAAUGUUGUUGUUAAACCCAUGAAAUUUGAUUGAAUUGUGUGAAUGAUGAAAAUGUUGUUGUUAAACCCAUGAAAUUUGAUUGAAUUGUGUGAAUGAUGAAAAUGUUGUUGUUAAACCCAUGAAAUUUGAUUGAAUUGUGUGAAUGAUGAAAAUGUUGUUGUUAAACCCAUGAAAUUUGAUUGAAUUGUGUGAAUGAUGAAAAUGUUGUUGUUAAACCCAUGAAAUUUGAUUGAAUUGUGUGAAUGAUGAAAAUGUUGUUGUUAAACCCAUGAAAUUUGAUUGAAUUGUGUGAAUGAUGAAAAUGUUGUUGUUAAACCCAUGAAAUUUGAUUGAAUUGUGUGAAUGAUGAAAAUGUUGAUGUUAAACCCAUGAAAUUUGAUUGAAUUGUGUGAAUGAUGAAAUUGUUGUUGUUAAACCCAUGAAAUUUGAUUGAAUUGUGUGAAUGAUGAAAAUGUUGUUGUUAAACCCAUGAAAUUUGAUUGAAUUGUGUGAAUGAUGAAAAUGUUGUUGUUAAACCCAUGAAAUUUGAUUGAAUUGUGUGAAUGAUGAAAAUGUUGUUGUUAAACCCAUGAAAUUUGAUUGAAUUGUGUGAAUGAUGAAAAUGUUGUUGUUAAACCCAUGAAAUUUGAUUGAAUUGUGUGAAUGAUGAAAAUGUUGUUGUUAAACCCAUGAAAUUUGAUUGAAUUGUGUGAAUGAUGAAAAUGUUGUUGUUAAACCCAUGAAAUUUGAUUGAAUUGUGUGAAUGAUGAAAAUGUUGUUGUUAAACCCAUGAAAUUUGAUUGAAUUGUGUGAAUGAUGAAAAUGUUGUUGUUAAACCCAUGAAAUUUGAUUGAAUUGUGUGAAUGAUGAAAAUGUUGUUGUUAAACCCAUGAAAUUUGAUUGAAUUGUGUGAAUGAUGAAAAUGUUGUUGUUAAACCCAUGAAAUUUGAUUGAAUUGUGUGAAUGAUGAAAAUGUUGUUGUUAAACCCAUGAAAUUUGAUUGAAUUGUGUGAAUGAUGAAAAUGUUGUUGUUAAACCCAUGAAAUUUGAUUGAAUUGUGUGAAUGAUGAAAUUGUUGUUGUUAAACCCAUGAAAUUUGAUUGAAUUGUGUGAAUGAUGAAAAUGUUGUUGUUAAACCCAUGAAAUUUGAUUGAAUUGUGUGAAUGAUGAAAAUGUUGUUGUUAAACCCAUGAAAUUUGAUUGAAUUGUGUGAAUGAUGAAAAUGUUGUUGUUAAACCCAUGAAAUUUGAUUGAAUUGUGUGAAUGAUGAAAAUGUUGUUGUUAAACCCAUGAAAUUUGAUUGAAUCGUGUGAAUGAUGAAAACGUUGUUGUUAAACCCAUGAAAUUUGACUGAAUUGUGCGAAUGAUGAAGAAAAUGUUGUUGUUAUACCUAUGAAAUUUGAUGGAAUUGUGUGAAUGAUGAAAAUGUUGUUGUUAAACCCAUGAAAUUUGACUAAAUUUUGUGAAUGAUGAAAAUGUUGUUGUUAAACCCAUAAAAUUUAAUUGAAUUGUGUUAACGAUGAAAACGUUGUCGUUAAACCUAUGAAAUUUGAUUGAAUUGUGUGAAUGAUGAAAAUGUUGUUGUUAAACCCAUGAAAUUUAAUUGAAUUGUGUGAACGAUGAAAACGUUGUUGUUAAACCCAUGAAAUUUGAUUGAAGUGUGUGAAUAAUGAAAAUGUUGAUGUUAAACCUAUGAAAUUUGGUUCAAUUGUGUGAAUGAUGAAAAUGUUGUUGUUAAACCCAUGAACUUUGAUUGAAUUGUGUGAAUGAUGAAAACAUUGAUGUUAAACCUAUGAAAUUUGGUUCAAUUGUGCGAAUAAUGAAAAUGUUGUUGUUAAACUUAUGAAAUUUGGUUCAAUUGUGUGAAUGAUGAAAAUGUUGUUGUAAACCCAUGAACUUUGAUUGAAUUGUGUGAAUGAUGAAAACAUUGAUGUUAAACCCAUGAAAUUUGGUUGAAUUGUUCGAAUGAUGAAAACGUUGUUAAACCUAUGAAAUUUGAUUGAAUUGUGUGAAUGAUGAAGAUGUUUUGUUAAACCUGUAAAAUUUGAUUGAAUUGUGUGAUGAUGAAAAUGCAGUUGUUAAACCCAUGAAAUUUGAUUGAAUUGUGUGAAGGAUGAAAACGUUGAUGUUAAACCUAUGAAAUUUGAUUGAAUCGUGUGAAUGAUGAAAAUGUUGAUGUUAAAACUAUGCAAUUUGAUUGAAUUUGUGAAUGAUGAAAAUUAUGUUGUUAAACCCAUGAAAUUUGAUUGAAUUGUGUGAAUGAUGCAAAAUGUUGAUGUUAAACCUAUGAGAUUUGAUUGAAUUGUGUGAAUGAUGAAAAUGUUGUUGUUAAACCCAUGAGAUUUGAUUGAAUUGUGUGAAUGAUGAAAAUGUUGUUGUUAAACCCAUGAAAUUUGAUUGAAUUGUGUGAAUGAUGAAAAUGUUGUUGUUAAACCUAUGAGAUUUGAUUGAAUUGUGUGAAUGAUGAAAAUGUUGUUGUUAAACCCAUGAAAUUUGAUUGAAUUGUGUGAAUGAUGAAAAU
RNAcentral lists this long non-coding RNA (11603 nucleotides) under Lathyrus oleraceus (garden pea). RNAcentral's name for it is "Pisum sativum (pea) long non-coding RNA (PSAT_LNC037505)". Lineage: Eukaryota; Viridiplantae; Streptophyta; Magnoliopsida; Fabales; Fabaceae. The record is from RNAcentral.